Molecule: ribosomal RNA, 376 nt
Filed under: uncultured bacterium
Lineage: Bacteria
Description: bacterial SSU rRNA
Rfam family: Bacterial small subunit ribosomal RNA
Source: RNAcentral
UACGGAGGGCGCAAGCGUUGUUCGGAAUCACUGGGCGUAAAGCGCGUGCAGGCGGCUUGGUAAGUCGGAUGUGAAAUCCCGGAGCUCAACUCCGGAACUGCACCCGAUACUGCCUCGCUAGAGUCCCGGAGAGGAUGGCGGAAUUUCCGGUGUAGAGGUGAAAUUCGUAGAUAUCGGAAGGAACACCAGCGGCGAAGGCGGCCAUCUGGACGGUGACUGACGCUCAGACGCGAAAGCGCGGGGAGCAAACAGGAUUAGAUACCCUGGUAGUCCGCGCUGUAAACGUUGGGUGCUAGGCGUCGUGGGUAUUGACCCCCGCGGUGCCGAAGCUAACGCAUUAAGCACCCCGCCUGGGGAGUACGGUCGCAAGACUAAA